RNAcentral lists this ribosomal RNA (253 nucleotides) under uncultured bacterium. Its description in RNAcentral is "partial 16S ribosomal RNA". It matches the Rfam family "Bacterial small subunit ribosomal RNA", at positions 524 to 776 of the family's 1533-position model. The record is from RNAcentral.
UACAGAGGUCUCAAGCGUUGUUCGGAUUUAUUGGGUUUAAAGGGUGCGUAGGCGGCUUAUUAAGUCAGGGGUGAAAGACGGUGGCUCAACCAUCGCAGUGCCCUUGAUACUGAUGAGCUUGAAUACACUUGAGGUAGGCGGAAUGUGACAAGUAGCGGUGAAAUGCAUAGAUAUGUCACAGAACACCAAUUGCGAAGGCAGCUUACUAAGGUGCAAUUGACGCUGAGGCACGAAAGCGUGGGGAUCAAACAGG